Molecule: long non-coding RNA, 652 nt
Filed under: Mytilus galloprovincialis (Mediterranean mussel)
Lineage: Eukaryota; Metazoa; Mollusca; Bivalvia; Mytilida; Mytilidae
Source: RNAcentral
AAAACAUAAAGCAAACAUUAAUGCCCAGACAAUUGAUGUAGUAAGUUCCUUUAUAUUUCAGUGCACUGAAUGGACACAUAGAGAUAACAAAGAUACUGUAGAGAAACUAUGCGGACUGUAAUAUGUGUAUCUAUAGUAAACAAUAUAUAACAGAUACAUUUACUAACCAUGAACAGAAAACAUUAGACAAAGGAAAACAAAUUGUACUUGAUAGCCUGGUAGAGAAUACAUCAUCACAUGUAACAGUUAUGUUCAGUAAGAAGUCAGUGGAUUAUGCCUUGAUGUAGUAGCUGGUUCUUCGCCAUUACACAUAGCCUGUUUUUGGGUAGGACAGCAUAUGAGUAUGUUGUCUUCUGGACCACAAUGCCAACAUCAACAUGCAGAAAGAAGAUGGCACCACACCACUAUUUUAUGCAUGCGAAGUAGGACAUGAGGAUAUUGUACCGUUUAUUGUUAGAUAAAGGAGGCAGUUACAGAAGUAUGUAGACUUGAUGGAAAAUCCCUUUAGACAUUGCAACAAUAAUGGACAUACAUCUAUAGUAGUGACUGUAACAGAACAUAUGAAGAAGAGGAAACUCUUGUUCUAUUAAGUCAUGAUAGUCUACCAUAGACUACCAUUGAUGACAUAGUUAAACUGUAUAUAAGUAUGGAC